GAACAGUAAAUAGAUGGCAUAUCAGUAAAUACAGGUACACCUCUCCUCCACGUCUGAUAAGUGAUUCAAGCAAACCCUAAACCUACUGCACCUCCACACACACCGCCGAUUACAUGGAGAGAGAACGAUGAGAGAGAUCAGAAAGGGGAGAGAGAACGGUGUGUGUUGGAACGGCGGCGUUGCCUAUCACUGGUGGUGUGGUGGUGACUAGAGAAAUUAUCAGUGUGUGGUGGUGCCGGAUUCACGGUGCGGUUCCGGUGGUGACGGAAUCAGGGUGCGGUUCCGGUGGUGAUUAGCGGCGUAGAGAAGAUGCUAGGGUUCCGGUGAAGGUCGGGCAAAAUUACGGUACCACGGGUGUCGGGAUCAACAUGAACAGACGACACCACGGGUGUCGGGAUCUCUGCCGGUGAGAGAUGUGAAAGUUUUAGGGUUCCGACGAGUCAGCUUAGCUCCGGUGAGAACCUGCUUUCCUGAACCAGGGGAACGCAUCCGGCAAGCACAAUAGGUUGGCAAGCACAAUAGGUUGUGGUGCAUCUAGAGGGCGGUGUUCAUAUCAAUCGGUGGUGUUCGAUUGUCUAUUAGGGCAGUGCAUUUGUCAUCAACAAGGAGUCAACUGAUUGGAGUUUGACUGAAUCUGAGUUUUCGACAGUACUUUAUGCUGGAAGGUUGUUUUCGCUGUGUCAUUCAAUGGAUACUUCUUGCCAAGUUUUUAGGUAACUUUAACUUCCUUAUUUUCUUCUUGCUUUUAUUGAUUUGAAGAUUCCAUGCUUCUGAUCCUUAUUUUCUUCUUAGGUGUAUUGUUAUAAUGGCACCUUGAUUUCCACAUAAAGUAAAAGAAUAAAGUAUCCAUAAUUUUUUUUCUAUAAUUCUUUUAAACGAUUUCAUGUGAAAUCUACAAAGAGUCUUGAAAAGUAACUGUGCUUCAAUCAAAAAUAUAUUAUAUUAGAAGGUUAUAUGUAUAUGCAAACCUAAGUAGUUGAUGAUACUCGAGUAAAGCAUUAUUGUAUAAUGUGUUUAUAGUAAGAAAAGUCUUUGGUAGUUGAUCAUGAACUUUAGAAGAGUGUUGUUCUUUCAAUGUAACGAAAAAGUAUAUGGAUAUUGCAUAAGAUAGAAAAGAGCUUUUACUAGAGUUACAUGUCCUGAAAAGACAUUAAGGUAUGAUUUACACUUAUGAGGGGGUGAUUGUUGAUAAUCAUAUUGUUACCGAGCCGAUUACUUUACUAAAAUCGACAGAAGAGGAGGGAUGGUCAUCGGGCGGUAUGAUGGUGAGUUUGCGGGUUCUGGCGAGGCAGUGAUUGACCAAGAUAAUUUGAAAACUUUCUGUGGUCAUAAAGUAUAGAUGUGGAACUCCAGGAACUGCCAAGAAGAAAGGAAUAACAUGACCAGGAACAUACAUUCAAGAACUGAAGUGUUCAUAGUAAUUAAGAUAGUCGUAGAGUAUUAUUGGCGACAUAUCAUGUGAUUACACCAAGAAUGAUUUGGUUUAGCAUGAUCGUGUUAUGAGUUGUGAUGUCAAACGUACACACCAAGAAUGAUUAAGUUUAGCAUCAUCGUGUUAUGAGUUGUGAUGUAAAGCGUACACACUAAGAAUGAUUGAUCCGGUUUAGCCAAGAAUGAUUUGGUUGAGUGCGUCGUAACGCGGCGCUGCGCAUAAAA
Long non-coding RNA from Helianthus annuus (common sunflower), 1656 nucleotides. RefSeq lists it as uncharacterized. Lineage: Eukaryota; Viridiplantae; Streptophyta; Magnoliopsida; Asterales; Asteraceae. The record is from RefSeq and is a predicted model, not a curated record. The transcript is spliced from 5 exons.